CCAGAUCACAGGCCCAGGCUCUUUGGGUCUGCAGCCUAAAACCCUGAGGGAUAAAUGCAUUUUCAUAACCUAGAGCCAAUGGGUUAUUUUCAUCCCCACCCUUAGGUCUUAGUUUAGACCAUUUGCUAUCCUCUGAAACACUCUUCCUCCCAACUAAAUGCCUCCCAUUCUUCUAGACCCAAGUUCUGGACAUGCCACCUCCAGAAUGUCAACCAUGACUAUGACUUCCAAUAACAUUCAGGUCUUCACUCUAGCGUCACCUCUGGAGAGAGGCCUUCCCUUCCCACAGCACAAAGUAGCCUGUCCAGUUGCUCUCCAUCUUAGCAGCAUGGCUUUUCAGAAAAUAUCCUUUUAUUUAUCUGUAAAUAUCUUGUUGCUUUCUUUACUUGUCUCUUUCUUUUCUAUCUCCUCAAUUAAAUGCAAGCUCCUUGAGGGCAGGAGCUUACUAUCUGUCUUGUUCACUACUGUAACCCCAGUGCCUAAGAACCUACCUGUCCUACUGAUGGCCGGGGACACAGAAGCCAUAAAAAGCAAGGGAUUUACCCAAGGUUACACAGCAAGUAAGUGUCAGAGGUUGGCCUAGCACCCAGGUCCCUGCACUGCAGCCCAGGGCACUUGGCCUGUCCCUACACCUGCCCUGGUUGACCCUCUGUUGGCCUAUCUCAUCCUUGCCUCCACGUGACAGUGGGGGCCAGAGCCCACAAAUCCUUGACUACAGCGCUCUUCUUCUUCCCCAGGGGCCCAUGGUGCCCUGACCUGGGCAGCCCUGCCUGCUUCCCCCUCAGUCCCUCCCAUCCUGGCAUCAGCAGCUCUGAUGAGCUCAUGUCUGAAAGCCUGGAAGCUGCCCUGCGGGAAAAGGUGCCUCCCAGGCCAGACCCCUAGGCCUAGAGGUGUGUUCGGCCUUCUAAGAGAGCAGCCCUGGCAGGUGGAAGAGGGUGCGGACCCCUGCCCAGCCUGCCUCCUGGAGCUGUGAAGUGGGCUCACAGGGAGACACGAGUCGGCCUCCACAGAGUGGGGAGGAGGUAGAAAGAAGGCUCCUGUGCUUUUCCCAGCCCUCCAGAGGCCCCUCUGCCACUUGGCACCCCCCCCCCCACUAAUCAAGGAGAUGCUGUGUCCCAAGGAAAGGGGGAUCUGCUGCCUUCUAUCACAGAAUCACCCUCGGCAAAUAUCUUCCCCUCCCCAGCCUCAGUCUCCUCAACUCUAAAACGGGGAGAUCAGAGAUAAUGCUAACUGAAGAGGCUAGGGGAUUAGCUGGGAACCAGGCACCUAAAUGCCACAAGAGUGCCUGGUUUUUUCACCUUAGGGGAAGAGCAACAGCUAGCAAGGGAGGAACACAGUUAAAGGCCUUUAACCAUGUAAAUGCUGAUUCCAACCACAGCGUGGUUUAGGUGCUAGUUUGGGAGGUGAGGGGGAGCUAGGCCAUGGCCAGAGAAGUGGGGGCCAGUGUGAAAGGCAGCAACUGGGAGCCAGGGUGGCACAGCAGCUAACAGUUUGCCUUUGGGAAGUUGUCUGGAUAUCAAACUAGAGUGAUCCUAGUCCAUCCUCCUUGUUGUGUGACUGGGGAAACUGGCGAGCAGAGAGGAGGGCCCGCCAGGAACCAAACACCUGGACACAGCGGCAGGGCGUUUCCAGCUGCAACCGGGGGGCCCAGUCCCCUGCGUGAGCUGACACAGCAAGUCGUGGGUGGAGGUCAUCAGUUUGUUUGUGACUCUGCCCCAAACACAGGAUGUGGGCCAGGCCUGGGGCUGGUGAUGGGCAGGCACCAGCAAGGCCUCCGGGCCCUCAGGCCAUGUCCCCUAGUCCUCUCAUCAGCAUCCCAUCUUACUGUGUGUCUUGCCACACAUGUCACAGGGGUGGGGCACCCUCCAACGGCCCCCACAGCCACCACCAGAGGGGCUGUCUCCAAUGCACUGUCCACUCAGGGGUCACCCUCCCCACCCUCUCACUGGGGGCCAGAGAGAGCAAGGGGCGUGUCCCAAGAUCACACAGCAAGUUGGUUUAUACCAGGGCCACCUGACACUUAGGAAAGGGUGGGGAGUGGGACUCGUACUUCCCUACUCACUCUUGUCCCCUGUGGACUACCCAGACAUGCAACACAGAGGGUCCCUGUCCUGAUCCAGAAUGAGCCCGUGAUUUGGGGAGGGAAGUGGGGUGGAAAGAUCUUUUCCCCAGAGUUCUCAAAGAGGUGUUGUCAGGGCGGAGCCCCUGAUUCCAGUGUAGUGAUUAGCAGGGAGCCCCACCCUCCACUCCCUUCACUUCCAGGGCCCCGUUCUCACCCUGACAAAUGGGGCAAUAGUAGGGAUGUUGUGAGAAUUUGAUACGGAGCCCUCAGGACAGCUUCUGCGCUCCCCCGUAAGCGCUCAGGAAAGGCCUCGAUUUCCCCAGGUGGGGCUUGGACUUCGGGGUCCCGUCUGCCUCGACUAGCAGACCAGGCGCCGCCCGCCCCGCCCGCAGGAAAGGGGUGCGCGGGGCCAGCACACGCCGUUCCGCUGCCCCACCGGCGCCCAUGUUGGUGAGCCCGUUAGAGCCCAACCCGCAGAUUUCUGGAGCCAAGCGUUCCCACCUUCCCCGGAGCUGAGCUGCGGGGCUCGGAUGUCGUCCGGCCAUUGCGCACCCGUGAGCCCAGGCCGCCCCGGCCCCUGGUCUGCUUGCGGGCUGGGGCUCUAGCCCUGGAGCCCCCACGCAGCCCUGGAGAGUGCCUUCCCAGCGUCGGGGUAUCCUCCAGCUCCUGGGCUGCUGGAGAGCUUCGGAAUUCCUGGCACACACACACCGAGACUUCCCCCACCCCCUCCCACGGUACAGAUGGGGAAACUAAGGCCCAGAACGUAGCAGCGACUUGGCCAAGGUCACCCUGCGUGGGAGGACCAGAGCCCAGAUGUGCCAUCACCGCCUGGGCGGCGCCGGGAACAGCACAGAUCAGACCCGGAUGCCUACCCUCUCAGGCUCAUCUCCCCCUCUUCUCAGCCCCAGAGACUGUGUAGUAACUGCCUACCUGGGUAGGACUUAGGCAAAUGGGAACUGAGGUGGAACUGUACUUGUGUAUGCAAAUCUGACAUGUGUCCACAUGUGAAAAUUAGGCCUGAAGAUCAGAAGCCUUUUCCUUGGCCCGGUGACCACUGUCAGCUCCUACCAUGGGCAGGGAUUCCUCUGCCUCAGUAAGACAGACAUAGCCAGGGCAGUGCAUCUGACACCUCAAAUCCCCACCCACAUCCCCACCCUUCAGGCUCAGAGCAGUGUCCACUAGAGUGGGCCUCCAAGACCUCUAGAUACCCCAGACCCCCAAUAACCAAUGAUUCAGAGAGCAGGAUGGUAGCUGUCUCAAAGCCACGGGCAAAGGAGGAGCUAGAUCAGCAGUGGGUCUCAGGUCUCCCUGAGUGUAUUCAAGGAGAAGGGAUUAUGGCUUGGCAGAAUCUACACCCCCCACGCACACACCUGGGCCCUGCCAUCCAUAACCUUAAAAACCUUUUUCCAGCCCCAGGUGGGUGGAAGAACACAGACUGCUGCCUUGUCUCCAUGGAGACAAGGCAGCACAGAGGGUGGUUGAAAGCAUGGGCCCAGACCUCCUGGGGUUCUAAUCUCAGCUACUCCACUGGCAGGUCUGAGACUUUGACAAGUCAGUUAAACUCUUUAUGCCUUAGUUUCCUCAUCUAUGAAACAGAAAUAAGAAAAGUACGGACUUCAUAGGGUUAUUUAGAAGAUGAAAUGAAGUCCACCAUACAAAGCGUUUAACACAGUGCCUGGCAGCUAAACUGGGAGACAGAAGCUCCAGGUUCUUAUUCGAGCUUUGCCGACAAGUUACUGUGUGACCCUGGACAAGUCACUUGCCAUCUCUGAGCUUCAGAGUCUCCACAAGGCUAUCUAUAUCUUAUCUACAUCAGUGAGUCCUGCCAGUUGUGAGAAGCUGAGACUUUGUGGAGAGCCCCACAGGACACUUUCUUUACCACAUACAUUCGUCCGGGUUGGUAGCAGCUGAUGGCAGGAAACUUGAGCUGCAGGCUUCUGCCCACCUCAUCUUCCUGCACUCCUUGUUCCCCUAGCCUGCCAGCAACCCCAUUCUGCCCUGCUUAGCUGGUACUCAGGCCUUAGAGAAAUGGUACCUGUACCCAUCCAUCCCAAGUGGUGGGUGCCCAAGGCAGAAGAUGUCACAAGCCAUACAUAGAACUGUCAGAGAGCACCCAAGAGAAGCAGUUAUAAUUGCGGAAGGACGGGUUUAAUUGUCUGAAGAUGCUUAUAAUCCUCUGGUGGUAAUGGGAGGAAGUUAGAAAAGGAAGCUCUAAUCCACUAAUAACCUGGCAGCUUCACAGGCCUCUUCCCUCCAGAUCUCCAGGCAGAGAGGAGAGACUCUGACCACUCCCUUUCCCAAGGGAACAGAAAGGCCAGUGUGGGCUCUGACCCAAGACCUCCCAGACUUCUACUCUGCAAGACCCAGCUUCCUUCCUACCUCCGCCUCCGAGAAGUCUUCCCUGCCUAUUCCUUAAGCCUGAGGUUACUCUUGUCUCCUCUGCCCUAAAAGUGUCAGGACAGAACUGGAUGACCAUCUGGUUGGAUGUUAAUUAAAAAGAGGAAUGAGCCAGACUGUGAAGCAAGAAGAGCAUGAUCACAGUCUCAGCUCUAAUACUGACUGUGUGGCCUUGGGCAAGGUGCUUAGGUCUCUGUGCCUCAGUUACAUCACCUGUAAAGUGGGGAGAACAAAACCUGCCUUGAAAGGUUCCAGUAAGAUCCACGAGGAUGAGAUGCCAUGAAAUACCUGGCUCCAUGUGAAAAGACACUAGGACUCAUUAGAGGUGGUCCCUUCUUCUCCCCUCUCCACACAUGGUCUCUCCUACUCCAGAGUGUCAGCACGUGACAUUCUGCCUUUUAUAAAGUAUACAGAAUACACUGGUGGCUAAGAGCAAGGCUCCAUGUUAAAAAAACUGAUUGAAUCAUGGUGUAACAGCUUGCUAACCAUGAUUCUUGGACCAGUCACUUAAUGUUCCUUGGGCCUCAAUCUGUAGAAUGGAUAUAAGAGCAAUAUAUCCCUCAAGGGGAUUUUUAUGAGAUUAAAUAAAAUGAUAUGUGUAAAGAUCUUAGCUUGUGAGCUUGGCCCAUGAGGGCUUAACAAGUAAUAGCUAUUGUAUUAUUAAAUUGAUGACGAUCAUUUUAAUUAUGAUCACCAUCCUUCAAGUGCUUGUCUAGAUUACUCUAAAAUUUCCAAAAGACUGUUCCAUCUAAGUUCAUUGCAACCACGCAAGAGCUCUAUGAGGUACUCAGGGCUCAUAUUUUUAUUUGACUUUCAGGUCCUGGGCUCAGGUUCUUGGGGACCUGGAUUUGGGUUGACUGGUGCGAGGGCCCACCUCUAAGCUCAAAGCUGCUGAGCCUUCCUGGGAUACUCCUUCUUCUUGCCCCAGAUGCCCUGAAAGCCCCUCCUUGGUCCUGCCCAGCUUCCGGUGUGACCCAAGCAUCAGGGGGAUUGGUAUUAUGGGGGGUGGUCAGAGCCUCGAAUAAUUUUAGAAAAGAGAGUGGAUGGGAUGGCUGCUGAGAUGUCAGCCAGGACAUCAGAGAUGGCUGCAGAGAAAUGAAGAGUCCCUUCAGUUUCCUGAUGCACAAGCCUUCCCAGGCCUGUGUCCCCCGCGUGCCCUGAGCCCCCAGGAUCUGCUGGCAGCAGCUCCUGCGUGAGUGAGCAUGGCCUGGCUCUCGUCCGCCCCAUCUGGACCCACUUGAGCAUUUCCAGGGGCCUGGCGUUGGAGGU
Molecule: long non-coding RNA, 5728 nt
Organism: Manis pentadactyla (Chinese pangolin)
Lineage: Eukaryota; Metazoa; Chordata; Mammalia; Pholidota; Manidae
Exons: 4
Source: RefSeq, a predicted model, not a curated record